CCGUAGGUGACCUGCGGAGGAUCAUUAUCGAAUAAACUUGAACAGGCUGUUGCUGGUCUCCUCAGGGAGAUUACGUGCACGCUUGUCUCAUCUUUGUUAUUUCUCCAACUGUGCACCUUUUGUAGACCCUGGAGCUUUAUGAAUUUUCUGAAAAUUCGAGUCAGGACUGCUGUUUCAGCUUUGCCUUGCAUCUCCAGGUUCUAUGUCAUUUUUCACAACCUCUUCAUAUGUUUAGAAUGUUUGGAAAUAUAAAAUUGAAAUAUACAACUUUCAGCAACGGAUCUCUUGGCUCUCGCAUCGAUGAAGAACGCAGCGAAAUGCGAUAAGUAAUGUGAAUUGCAGAAUUCAGUGAAUCAUCGAAUCUUUGAACGCAUCUUGCGCUCCUUGGUAUUCCGAGGAGCAUGCCUGUUUGAGUGUCAUUUAACUUCUCAACCAACAUCAGAUGAUGUUGGCUUGGAUGUGGGGGUUGUUUUUGCAGGCUUUUUCUUGUUAGAAGGUCGGCUCCCCUGAAAUGGAUUAGUGGUAUCUGAGGCUACUACUGUGGGUGUGAUAACUAUCUAUGCCUUUGGUAUGCCGCAUGAACAGAUUACACUGCUUCUAACAAAACAAAAUUUGAUAAAUUGACCUCAAAUCAG
This 635-nucleotide ribosomal RNA is filed under the name Inocybe flocculosa. Its description in RNAcentral is "eukaryotic LSU rRNA". The stretch from base 266 to 419 matches the Rfam family "5.8S ribosomal RNA". The record is from RNAcentral. Lineage: Eukaryota; Fungi; Basidiomycota; Agaricomycetes; Agaricales; Inocybaceae.